This 765-nucleotide ribosomal RNA is filed under the name uncultured Streptococcus sp. Its description in RNAcentral is "bacterial SSU rRNA". It matches the Rfam family "Bacterial small subunit ribosomal RNA", at positions 28 to 776 of the family's 1533-position model. The record is from RNAcentral. Lineage: Bacteria; Bacillati; Bacillota; Bacilli; Lactobacillales; Streptococcaceae.
GACGAACGCUGGCGGCGUGCCUAAUACAUGCAAGUAGAACGCUGAAGGAAGGAGCUUGCUCUUUCCGGAUGCNUUGCGAACGGGUGAGUAACGCGUAGGUAACCUGCCUGGUAGCGGGGGAUAACUAUUGGAAACGAUAGCUAAUACCGCAUAACAGUAGAUAUCGCAUGAUAGCUGCUUAAAAGGUGCAAUUGCACCACUACCAGAUGGACCUGCGUUGUAUUAGCUAGUUGGUGAGGUAACGGCUCACCAAGGCCACGAUACAUAGCCGACCUGAGAGGGUGAUCGGCCACACUGGGACUGAGACACGGCCCAGACUCCUACGGGAGGCAGCAGUAGGGAAUCUUCGGCAAUGGACGGAAGUCUGACCGAGCAACGCCGCGUGAGUGAAGAAGGUUUUCGGAUCGUAAAGCUCUGUUGUAAGAGAAGAACGAGUGUGAGAGUGGAAAGUUCACAUUGUGACGGUAUCUUACCAGAAAGGGACGGCUAACUACGUGCCAGCAGCCGCGGUAAUACGUAGGUCCCGAGCGUUGUCCGGAUUUAUUGGGCGUAAAGCGAGCGCAGGCGGUUAGAUAAGUCUGAAGUUAAAGGCUGUGGCUUAACCAUAGUACGCUUUGGAAACUGUUUAACUUGAGUGCAAGAGGGGAGAGUGGAAUUCCAUGUGUAGCGGUGAAAUGCGUAGAUAUAUGGAGGAACACCGGUGGCGAAAGCGGCUCUCUGGCUUGUAACUGACGCUGAGGCUCGAAAGCGUGGGGAGCAAACAGG